AAAACUGUAAAAUUUAAUGAAAAUAAAAUAAUUUUUCUUAAUGUUUUCAGAGUACGAUUUACGGCCUCACUAAUUGGAAAAAAAGAUAGAAAUAAUACCGGAAGCAAGCAUGAUAGAGAAGAUGAUGAAAACCACAAGUGAAAGUGCCUUCUCCAUAUUUUCUAAGUUUUUCUUUUUUCUUUCUGAAAAUUGGUUGAGACAAUUAAUGAUAUUUCAAUGAAACAUUUAAAGGGGUGUAUUGGACUUCAUAUUUUAGAAGUAUUAGUGAAAUUUAGGAUAUUUUAGAUUGGGGGAGAUUUGAGUGAACUUCAAGAUAUUUGGUU
Molecule: small RNA, 323 nt
Filed under: Arabidopsis thaliana (thale cress)
Lineage: Eukaryota; Viridiplantae; Streptophyta; Magnoliopsida; Brassicales; Brassicaceae
Description: ATSL232120
Source: RNAcentral